AAAACAAUACCAAUUUAAAGUUCAUAUCUUGCCUCAUUACAGUGAGAGAAAAACACUGAUAGUGUGGCAGGGUGUGAUAAUAGAUGCAUUAGCAUUAACAAAUAGCAUGACUCAUAUGUGGUUAACUUAAACUAAACCAUCUAAAUCAUGGGUGCUUGUUUAGAUAUCUCGUGAACUGAAAACAAUACCAAUUUAAAGUUCAUAUCUUGCUGAUUGGUGGAGAAUUCCCGAGAAGUUUUUGGUCUCAUAAAGAAGCUGAAUAUUGUCCCUGACACCAAGAAGAGAGCAAAAACAACAUCAUCUUUCUUUGAUACACUGGUCACUGGAGGAAACAACAAUAGCUCUUCGAAGGUCAAGUCAUAUUUAUGUGUUUGACACACAAAAGAAUCCAAGAGCUGACUCUCUUUUGCAUGCUGAGAUCAAUCCAAGGCCAUGACAAUGCCAAGAACAACCACCUAGUGACUUCUCUAUUGCUCAGUUCCGGUUUCUGGAGCGACUACUUAUCGUCCAUGGGCACUGGUGCGAUAAGAGGAUUACCCAAAUGGUAAGAACUACAGAAUCCCUAACACUAGAUGGGCCCCUUCAUGUUAGGCCUAGAUCCCAAAUGCAGCCUGAUCACAGAAACUUCCAGAUGGAAUGUGGGGUCCACCGCGUUGUAAAUAUACCAUCUAGCCCUCUCAUCUGGUGAGAGGGAUAGGAUGAAGGCGCACCCAUGAAAUGCAGGCCAUUCCAGAAUUCAGGUGAACCAUACCAUGUGAAUAUAUAUGUUUUCGGCAAGAUUCUAUAUUGUGGGCAAUGGUGUGUCUCACUUUUGUAUCUGGAUGAUUCUUGGUGUGUAUGGUUGGAAAAUCAUCUACUUCAUUCAAUGGAAAAACAUCCCAAGCCUGAUUUCUGCAAAUCUUAUCUUGUUA
This is a long non-coding RNA of Magnolia sinica, 911 nucleotides long. RefSeq lists it as uncharacterized. Lineage: Eukaryota; Viridiplantae; Streptophyta; Magnoliopsida; Magnoliales; Magnoliaceae. The transcript has 3 exons. The record is from RefSeq and is a predicted model, not a curated record.